This is a non-coding RNA of Gossypium hirsutum (cotton), 107 nucleotides long. The record is from Rfam. Lineage: Eukaryota; Viridiplantae; Streptophyta; Magnoliopsida; Malvales; Malvaceae.
AUUCCAUGAUGAGAGCAUUUUCGUAAUAGUUAUUUGAAUCUCUCCCACGCCUCAUACAAGGAUUUAUCAUCUAUUUGUUGGAAGGCAGUGAUCUUGGUUCGCAACAU